Molecule: ribosomal RNA, 493 nt
Filed under: Metopolophium dirhodum (rose-grain aphid)
Lineage: Eukaryota; Metazoa; Arthropoda; Insecta; Hemiptera; Aphididae
Description: partial small subunit ribosomal RNA
Source: RNAcentral
GUUGCGGUUAAACAUAAUAUACAAGUAAAAUAGUUUGGUUAUUAGUAUUAAGUAUAAUUUAUAAUUUAAUUUUUUUUAAUAAAGUAAAAUUUAAUUAAGAAUUAUUAUUAUAAUUAUUUUAUUCUAUUAAAUUUUAUUUAAAACUAGGAUUAGAUACCCUAUUAUAAAAGUUUAAAUUAAUUUACUAAAAAAUUAAUAGUUAUGUUCUUUAAAUUUAAAAAAUUUGGCGGUAUUUUAGUCUUAUUAGAGGAACCUGUUUUUUAAUUGAUAAUCCACGAUUAAUUUUACUUAUUUAAGAUAAUUCAUAUAUCGCUGUCAUGAAUAUAUUUAAAAAUUUAUUUUCUUUAUUUAUUUUUAUGAUUUAUGUUAAGUCAAGAUGUGGUUUAUAAAUAAGUUUAUAAUGGGUUACAUUAAAUUUUAUUUUUGGAUUUUAGAUGAAAAUUAAAAUGAAAUUGGAUUUAAUAGUAAAUUUAUUUAUUUAAUUAAUAUGAAU